Molecule: ribosomal RNA, 651 nt
Filed under: uncultured bacterium
Lineage: Bacteria
Description: bacterial SSU rRNA
Rfam family: Bacterial small subunit ribosomal RNA
Source: RNAcentral
AGAGCUUGCUUUCUCGAGCGAGUGGCGAACGGGUGAGUAACGCGUGAGGAACCUGCCUCAAAGAGGGGGACAACAGUUGGAAACGACUGCUAAUACCGCAUAAGCCCACAGGUCGGCAUCGACCAGGGGGAAAAGGAGCAAUCCGCUUUGAGAUGGCCUCGCGUCCGAUUAGCUAGUUGGUGAGGUAAUGGCCCACCAAGGCAACGAUCGGUAGCCGGACUGAGAGGUUGAACGGCCACAUUGGGACUGAGACACGGCCCAGACUCCUACGGGAGGCAGCAGUGGGGAAUAUUGCACAAUGGGGGAAACCCUGAUGCAGCGACGCCGCGUGGAGGAAGAAGGUCUUCGGAUUGUAAACUCCUGUUGUUGAGGAAGAUAAUGACGGUACUCAACAAGGAAGUGACGGCUAACUACGUGCCAGCAGCCGCGGUAAAACGUAGGUCACAAGCGUUGUCCGGAAUUACUGGGUGUAAAGGGAGCGCAGGCGGGAAGACAAGUUGGAAGUGAAAUCUAUGGGCUCAACCCAUAAACUGCUUUCAAAACUGUUUUUCUUGAGUAGUGCAGAGGUAGGCGGAAUUCCCGGUGUAGCGGUGGAAUGCGUAGAUAUCGGGAGGAACACCAGUGGCGAAGGCGGCCUACUGGGCACCAACU